CGUUGUGACUAUACUUGAGACCUUAGAAAUUAUAUCUCAAGGUGGGUGGCGCAUUUGCGUUGUAGAUGUUUAGCUCGUCCACCCAUCUAAGCAAUAAAUAAAAAACACAAGAGUCGCGAGAGACUCAGCGAGCUGGUAUUAUGGGUUAGGUUCCACAACCAACUCUUCGACGAAUACGUUUACCAGGGUCCCUAAGCCUGCUCCUAGUGUUAGGAAUUCAGGCGUCUAGUAAGAUGAUUAGGGGAUUGCUAAGGACGUGUAAAUCGUUUAUCCUGAACGUAAAAACCCAUUCAAGUCGACUCGAGCGACCGUUAUACUAAACUUUACCCCGACGUAUCCGAUAACAUGUUAAGGCGUAUUUCAAUAGCAUUAUCGUACUGUGGGCGUAGUUGCAGAUAUAAUAUUACUCAUUCUUUGUUUGUUACUCGAACUGUGCGAUAAUGUCAGUAAUGAUAUCCACGUUUUAAUGUCUCCAGCAUGAUUCAGAUAAGGGGGAACAUGUGGCAUCGAAAAGUCAUCGACAAGUGGGAUGGUGUUUAAAACUCAAACUAAAAAGCAGAAACAAGAAAUCUAGAAUCAAAUUACUAGAAGGAUGGCUGUAUGGAUAGCUGUCCCCUUUCUAUUUAUGAUGGAGUAAUAAAAAAAAAACUUACCGGAAGUUCGAGAACCAUUUGACGAGCUGCGCUGUGUUGUUCUUGUUAAACUUGAUGUCGGGGAAGUACAUCUUGAGGACGGCUGAGCUCGGAUACCGGACCCAGAAGAACAUGAGCUUCGCUUUGCGCAGGUGCAUCGGCGUUAGCGUUGAGGAGUGCAACGGAGUCAAGGAAUUAUCGAUAAAAGUUGUCACAUAGUUAACGGUAGAUGGCGCUGUACGUACGUAUCGCUCUGAAUUAUCACUAAUUAAUUUGGAAUUUUCAUUAAUUUUAAUUGUUUUAGAACUAAUAAUUUUGAACAUUGUUAAUUAUUUUAAGAAUGAAAUAUAUUAAUAAUAACUUUAUAUUUGUGUAAUCAUGUAGUUGCAGCUAGGUGAUAAUUAUUUUAUGAGAUUGUCAAAAUUUAAUAUGUAGAUAAUAAACUCGAUCAGGAAAAACGUAGCUCUAAUUUAAUAAAAUAACGUUGAAAUAAUCGACAAUAUUUUGUGUCUGUUAGCCAUAUUAAAAUACAAUUUAAAUUU
Molecule: long non-coding RNA, 1174 nt
Organism: Bombyx mori (domestic silkworm)
Lineage: Eukaryota; Metazoa; Arthropoda; Insecta; Lepidoptera; Bombycidae
Exons: 2
Source: RefSeq, a predicted model, not a curated record